RNAcentral lists this ribosomal RNA (253 nucleotides) under uncultured bacterium. RNAcentral describes it as "partial 16S ribosomal RNA". It matches the Rfam family "Bacterial small subunit ribosomal RNA", at positions 524 to 776 of the family's 1533-position model. The record is from RNAcentral.
GACGUAGGAUGCAAGCGUUGUCCGGAAUUAUUGGGCGUAAAGAGCUCGUAGGCGGUUUGUCGCGUCUGCUGUGAAAACUCGGGGCUUAACUCCGGGCCUGCAGUGGGUACGGGCAGACUAGAGUGCGGUAGGGGAGACUGGAAUUCCUGGUGUAGCGGUGAAAUGCGCAGAUAUCAGGAGGAACACCGGUGGCGAAGGCGGGUCUCUGGGCCGUAACUGACGCUGAGGAGCGAAAGCGUGGGGAGCGAACAGG